RNAcentral lists this ribosomal RNA (578 nucleotides) under Ruegeria sp. M34. RNAcentral describes it as "bacterial SSU rRNA". It matches the Rfam family "Bacterial small subunit ribosomal RNA", at positions 93 to 706 of the family's 1533-position model. Lineage: Bacteria; Pseudomonadati; Pseudomonadota; Alphaproteobacteria; Rhodobacterales; Roseobacteraceae. The record is from RNAcentral.
GAGCGGCGGACGGGUUAGUAACGCGUGGGAAUAUGCCCUUUGGUACGGAAUAGCCUCUGGAAACGGAGAGUAAUACCGUAUGAGCCCUUCGGGGGAAAGAUUUAUCGCCAAAGGAUUAGCCCGCGUUAGAUUAGGUAGUUGGUGGGGUAAUGGCCUACCAAGCCUACGAUCUAUAGCUGGUUUUAGAGGAUGAUCAGCAACACUGGGACUGAGACACGGCCCAGACUCCUACGGGAGGCAGCAGUGGGGAAUCUUGGACAAUGGGGGCAACCCUGAUCCAGCCAUGCCGCGUGAGUGAUGAAGGCCUUAGGGUCGUAAAGCUCUUUCGCCUGUGAAGAUAAUGACGGUAGCAGGUAAAGAAACCCCGGCUAACUCCGUGCCAGCAGCCGCGGUAAUACGGAGGGGGUUAGCGUUGUUCGGAAUUACUGGGCGUAAAGCGCACGUAGGCGGAUCGGAAAGUUGGGGGUGAAAUCCCGGGGCUCAACCCCGGAACUGCCUCCAAAACUAUCGGUCUAGAGUUCGAGAGAGGUGAGUGGAAUUCCGAGUGUAGAGGUGAAAUUCGUAGAUAUUCGGAGGAA